This 30-nucleotide non-coding RNA is filed under the name Homo sapiens (human). Lineage: Eukaryota; Metazoa; Chordata; Mammalia; Primates; Hominidae. The record is from RNAcentral.
UUGUGGAAAUGGAUACUUUGCAGAGCCCUU